Syngnathus typhle (broad-nosed pipefish) is the source of this 756-nucleotide long non-coding RNA. RefSeq lists it as uncharacterized. The record is from RefSeq and is a predicted model, not a curated record. The transcript has 3 exons. NCBI's taxonomy places the organism in Eukaryota, Metazoa, Chordata, Actinopteri, Syngnathiformes, Syngnathidae.
CCUCGGCGAUGCAACUGCAGCGGCGCAGACGGCGGCCAAGCCAAACAAGCCAAGACGGUCAAAUGCAUCAAAAUCAGACGCCGUUUAUUUUGUUUCGGGUUUGACGGACUGUAAUUUGGGACAAAGACGUCCGUCGCUGGAGGACAAAUGCUGCGGGAAGUUGAUGAGGGGUUGGCCUGUGCUGGAGAAGAGGAAGUGAAGAGGUGCACAACAACGCAUGCCCUUGUCGGGCCCUCUUUCCCCGGUACCUGCUGCCAAUGUUCCUGGAACCAGGCCAGUCCCUGUGGACCCUCCCCGGAUGCUCGUAUGCUUCCCAGUGUGUAAUCGGAGCCGGGCCUUUGACACAGUACAGGAAGAGCUUGUCGCCAGGGGAAACGCGCCACUUCCGGCCAGUGGAAGGGGGGGGGGGGGGAACCCGAUGCCGGGACCCGCGACGUCUGCAGCCGACAUCACAAGGGAACGCAGUUGCCUUUCAUCCUGCCUGUGUUUCUUUGCUUUCUUUCGCUUUCUAUGCACACAGUCAUCGGUAUCAGUCCCCCCACACCCCACGUCCUCAGGGGGUGUAACUUGACUUCGCAGUAGUAAUAGUUUUCCUUUGACAUCUAAAUGAUUAUUUAGACUUUCAUUUUGGAACGUGUGAGAGUUUGCUGAAACUUGGAUAAGAUCUCAUGAACUAAAAUGGUUCAUUAAGAUCUAAUUAACCAACUGGUUUGACACAACAGAAAUUGUUGCUAUCGAAUGUCGCCAUGUUUGAAC